RNAcentral lists this small nuclear RNA (20 nucleotides) under Arabidopsis thaliana (thale cress). Its description in RNAcentral is "snRNA_05725". Lineage: Eukaryota; Viridiplantae; Streptophyta; Magnoliopsida; Brassicales; Brassicaceae. The record is from RNAcentral.
AAGUUCUAUGUAAAUAUAUG